GUGCUGCUCUCGGAGGACCAGGGGCACCCGGCGCCCACCGACGUGUGCCCCCAUCCCGCCACGGCUCCGCUCACCUGCAGCGCUGCCACGCUGGAAUCAGGCGCAAUGACAACGAGCGCGGACACCCCGGAGGACGUCGCGGAGGACAUCGAAGAGCUCCUGACCUGGAUCGACGAGGAAGUGACGGCCAACACAGGCAUCCUGGACGACACCAAAGACAUGGAUGAGCUGCUCGCGUGGAUCAGCAACGGUGAG
Molecule: non-coding RNA, 255 nt
Organism: Meleagris gallopavo (turkey)
Lineage: Eukaryota; Metazoa; Chordata; Aves; Galliformes; Phasianidae
Source: RefSeq, a predicted model, not a curated record